Long non-coding RNA from Lethenteron reissneri (Far Eastern brook lamprey), 364 nucleotides. RefSeq lists it as uncharacterized. Lineage: Eukaryota; Metazoa; Chordata; Hyperoartia; Petromyzontiformes; Petromyzontidae. The record is from RefSeq and is a predicted model, not a curated record.
AGCAAAGUUAGUGGCACUGGGCAGCCGGCAGUCAGAUUCAAGGGCGAGACUGCCGAGUCCUCGGGCUCGCUUUACCGAUCCUGCUCAAAUGCGUGCCCGCGAAACUCCUGUGCGGGAGGGUACUUGGGGCGCAAAGGUCCCUGCACAGAGGGUCACGUGAACGAGGGCACGCGAUGAAGAGGAACCCUCAUAUAUGAAACGGUGCAAAUGAAUAAGUGCCUAUUUGAGCAGCCAAGACACCUUCUGAAUGAGCAUGAUAAAGUUGCCAUUGCAUCUGUUGUGCAACUCAGUUGGGAAUCCGUCAUUCAACCAGGUGAGAACACUGAGAUUUUCUACUACUUAUCGUUAUCAAGGGACGUCUGGG